GAGUUUAGUUAGGAUUUGGUUUAAAAUUUAGGAUUUGAUUUAGGGUUUAGGAUUUUAUUAGGAUUUUUUUAGGAUUUAAGAUUUAAUUAGUUUUGGCCUAAAGUUUGAAUGAAGUCCAAUAGGAUUUUAACUAGGAUUAAAUUAAGAUUAAAUUGUGAUGUACUUGAGAUAUAUUUGUGAUCAUACUAAUAUUCUUUUAAGAUUUCUUAUUGUUUCUUUGAAAUUUCUUUGAAGUUUCUUUGAAUUUGAUUAAAGCUUAUUUGAAAUUAUUAUGGUCUAUCUAAAAUUUAAUUAGUAUUCUAUUAGAGUUAGGAUUUUGUUGUUACAAUUUUCAUUCUACCUUCCACAACCAGGUCCCCGGAGCA
RNAcentral lists this long non-coding RNA (365 nucleotides) under Physcomitrium patens. Its description in RNAcentral is "long non-coding RNA (PPAT_LNC006359)". Lineage: Eukaryota; Viridiplantae; Streptophyta; Bryopsida; Funariales; Funariaceae. The record is from RNAcentral.